AUCUUUGCCCUUGGGGCAAUGACGCAGUUAGUGAGGUGAAACCGAGACACGUCAAUUGCUGGUUGAAACUAUUUCCAUUUCCAC
This 84-nucleotide small nuclear RNA is filed under the name Marchantia polymorpha subsp. ruderalis. RNAcentral's name for it is "U4 spliceosomal RNA". It matches the Rfam family "U4 spliceosomal RNA", at positions 1 to 83 of the family's 138-position model. Rfam says of the family: U4 small nuclear RNA (U4 snRNA) is a component of the major U2-dependent spliceosome. The structure of U4 snRNA from yeast and human has been reported. Lineage: Eukaryota; Viridiplantae; Streptophyta; Marchantiopsida; Marchantiales; Marchantiaceae. The record is from Rfam by way of RNAcentral.